GAAGAGAAAGCCAAACCCGUCGUGAGGCGGGGACGGAAAGCCACGGGUCUUUUUCGGCAAUAAUGCCGGGAUACAAGAUAGCCGGGUUGCCAAGA
Molecule: non-coding RNA, 95 nt
Filed under: Pseudodesulfovibrio piezophilus
Lineage: Bacteria; Pseudomonadati; Thermodesulfobacteriota; Desulfovibrionia; Desulfovibrionales; Desulfovibrionaceae
Also listed under: 1 other name
Description: Desulfovibrio piezophilus c-di-GMP sequence
Rfam family: c-di-GMP-I-GGC riboswitch aptamer
Source: RNAcentral